GCCGGUGACGAAACCGGAGGAAGGUGGGGAUGACGUCAAGUCAUCAUGGCCCUUACGGCCUGGGCUACACACGUGCUACAAUGGUCGGUACAAAGGGUUGCCAAGCCGCGAGGUGGAGCUAAUACCCAUAAAACCGAUCGUAGUCCGGAUCGCAGUCUGCAACUCGACUGCGUGAAGUCGGAAUCGCUAGUAAUCGUGAAUCAGAAUGUCACGGUGAAUACGUUCCCGGGCCUU
RNAcentral lists this ribosomal RNA (234 nucleotides) under uncultured Pseudomonas sp. RNAcentral's name for it is "partial 16S ribosomal RNA". It matches the Rfam family "Bacterial small subunit ribosomal RNA", at positions 1151 to 1382 of the family's 1533-position model. Lineage: Bacteria; Pseudomonadati; Pseudomonadota; Gammaproteobacteria; Pseudomonadales; Pseudomonadaceae. The record is from RNAcentral.